This 3357-nucleotide ribosomal RNA is filed under the name Triticum aestivum (bread wheat). RNAcentral describes it as "partial small subunit ribosomal RNA". The record is from RNAcentral. Lineage: Eukaryota; Viridiplantae; Streptophyta; Magnoliopsida; Poales; Poaceae.
AUGGAUCCGCCGAUGCCGAUGUCCCUGGUGUUCCCGUCGCUCGAUCCGCCGAAGCCGGCCGCCCUCCUCUCCAUGGAUCUGCUGCUGGAGGAGGCUUUCCGGGCCAUGGCGCGCGCGGCGGAGCAGUUCCGCUCCCUGGGCGAGAAGCAGGCCAAGCGCCUCAUGGUCGCCGGCUCCGGGGGCGGCAAGCUGCGGGAGGUGGCGACCCAGCUGGAGCAGGUCCGCGACCUGCUCGGGGCCGUCGACGACGGGGGGAGCUCCCCGGCGGCGGCGGCGGAGUCCUUCUACGGCAUCGACGACCUGCUUGACGAGAUGGAGUACCACAUGCUCGCCUUCCACCUCGAAGCCUCUGCAAAUACAAAUCCAAAGGUCAGCAAUCCCCUCGCUUCUGCCCUCAGGCUGGGCAGGCGAUUCCUUAGCAGCAGCAGCAGCAGCAGCGAUGGGGCGUCCCGCUCCCGGUGGUUCCUCAAGGACCUGGAUUCCGUCGCAGCCACUCUGACCUCUCUGCUCAACCAAGUCCAAGGCUCCAGUCUGCCGCUUGCCAUCUCCGAUGCGCCGCCCCAGGACCACAAGCUGUUUGGCCGCACCAGGGAGCUCAAUGACAUUGUGCAGAUGCUGACAGAGCCGCUCUCAUCCCACCAUCCUACCCUCAAGGUCAUCUCCAUUGUUGGCUUCGGCGGUCUGGGCAAGACCACGCUCGCCCAGUCGGUCUACGACCACAUCGGAGUACAGCGCCACUUUGAUCUCACAGCAUGGGCACAUGUCUCCGCCAAGCCUGACAGACUGGAACUAGCAGCUCAGAUACUGCGUUCCGCCAGCCCAGCCUACCGUGGAUCCAUCGACAAAGAUGCCACCUUCGGAGCUCUUCAGUCGCAACUCACUCAACUUCUGGCAUCCAAGAGAUUUCUGCUUGUUCUCGAUGAUGUGUGGGAUGUGCCCCAAGAUACAUGGCAGGAACUCCUCAUUCCUCUUAAAUCUGCCCAAAGUGGGAGCAGAAUUAUUGUGACCACCAGAACACCAAAGGUUGCUGACAUGCUCGGUGCAUCUCACACCUACCACCUGAAUCCACUGGGCAUCGAAGAUUGUUGGUCCUUGUUCCACCGAUAUGCUUUUGGGGGCUGGAGCACACAUGAUUCCAGUGAUGAACUGGAGCAGAUUGGGAGGACGAUUGUUGCUAAAGUCGACGGAUUGCCUUUGGCUGUCAAGGUGCUGGCAGGACUGCUUGGAGCUACAAAGAGCACAAAGUACUGGCGUAUUAUCUCGGAAAAACAAUUUUCCGGAGAUGCCACUCUCUCCUCGCUGCGCUUGAGCUACAGUUACCUGCCAGGACGACUCAAGCAAUGCUUUGCAUUCUGCAGCAUAUUUCCCAGGAACUGGAAGUUUGACCAAAGAACCAUGAUCCGCCUUUGGAUGGCCAAUGGUUUUAUACAGUCCCAAACCGACACUGGUAAAAGGAUGGAGGAUCUGGGCACAGAUUACUUCAAUGCUCUCCUAUCUCGGUCAUUCUUCCAAACUCUUAGGCAGGGUCCUCGCACACACUGUAUCAUGCACGACCUGAUCCAUGAUCUUGCAGUGUCAGUUUCAACCAAUGAUUGCUUUCAAUUUGAGCCUGGCGUGACCCGUUUUAUCCCCUCAACAGUGCGCCAUAUCUCGGUCACUACGGAUGGCACAGAAGACAUCAAUGCUGCCAUCAACAUGCUACCGAAGAAGCUGCGCACCUUGUUAGUUCUGAGAACUCGUUCUUUCUCCUCAUAUUGUCUUCAAGGAGACUUUUUAGCGAAGCUCAAGACUCUGAGGGUGCUUGAUAUUAGCCACUCUGACUAUACUGAAUUGCCAAGAUCCAUUUCCUGCUUAAUCCAUCUCCGUUACCUGUCCCUAUGUCGCACCAUUCGGAGUCUUCCAGAGUCGACAAGCAAGCUGCUCCAUCUACAAACGUUGCACUUUACAGACAGGUGUUCCCUUGAUAAGCUUCCAGCAGGAAUAAAUAGGCUUGUAAAGUUGCGGCACCUUGGAAUCGACAUGAAGUACAUUGCACAGCUACCAGGCAUUGGUCGGCUUAUUAAUCUGCAGGGAUCUGUUGAGUUCUGUGUUAAAAAGGGGGGAGGGCAUGCCUUGCAGGAGCUGAAGGGCAUGAACGGUCUCCAUGGCCAACUAAAAAUUAAAGGCCUUGACAAUGUUUUGAGCAAGGAUGAAGCCACCAAGACCGACAUGAAAAGAAAAGAGAAUCUCAAGGCGCUGAGACUGGAAUGGAGUUCAGCUAGUAGAGGUCUCACCCCUGUGACUGACUAUGAAGUACUAGAAAACCUACAGCCACAUCAAAACUUGAAGGAACUUCAUAUUGUAAGGUAUCUUGGCGCAACAGCUCCGAGUUGGUUGCAGUUUGCGGCGCUGAGGGAACUGCAAUCCUUGCACCUUGUUAAUUGCAGGAGCUUGGGCGUUCUACCUCCACUGGGGCUCCUGCCAUCACUCCAACAAUUACACAUGAAGGAGCUGUGCACAGUUAAGCGAAUUGGACAUGAGUUCUAUGGUACAGUUGACUUGUCAUUUCCAUCCCUGAAGGUUCUUGUGUUUGAUGACUUUCCCAGCUUGGUUGAGUGGUCUGAAGUGAGGGCCGAUCCAUUUCCUUGUCUCCAGAAGCUAGAGAUUGUAGACUGCCCAAAGUUGAUUCAAGUUCCUGCAUUUCCCCCAUCUGUCUCUGAACUUAAAGUGGAGCGAACAUUGUUGAUAUCCAAUAUGAGGCUUGCUCCAUAUUCUUCGUCAAGAUUAGAGAUAUUCACACUGAGUGUUUCCACAACUAGUGUACUUUGCAGGGGACUAUUCCAUCAAAGCCAUCUAGAAUCUAUUGUGGUUUUAAACAUAAAUGCUGGCUACAAGCAGCUUGUUUCUGCUGAGGGACUGCACUGUUUUACGUCUCUCCAAAAGCUUCAGCUGUGCCACUCUGACAUAUCAGAUCAGGAUUUGGGAAGUCUUCUUCAAGUGCUGCCCUCUUUGUACUCGGUUGAGAUGAUAGAUCUGCCCAACAUGACAUCUCUUCUGGUGCCAACAAAAAAUAAUUUGUGUACGACAGUCACGGAGUUGCAAAUAUCUAACUGUCCACAGCUCUCUUCUAUGGUCUCCUUGGGUACUUUUGUUUCACUGAAACGUUUGGUGAUUGAGAAAUGCCCCAAACUGACGGCAGCAUCCUUCCCAGUAAGUUUUUGGAGACUCACAGCCCUCAAGGUUCUGAGUAUAUCAUACUGCACAGAGUUCCAGUCCUUACCUAGUUGUGGUCUGCCAACCUCAAUAGAAGCACUUCAUCUCGUUGGGUGUCACCCAAAGCUGCAUGAAAAUUCAAGCAACAGAACUGUCAAUUCCUGA